Molecule: ribosomal RNA, 494 nt
Filed under: uncultured bacterium
Lineage: Bacteria
Description: partial 16S ribosomal RNA
Rfam family: Bacterial small subunit ribosomal RNA
Source: RNAcentral
GACGAACGCUGGCGGCGUGCUUAACACAUGCAAGUCGAACGGAAAGGCCUGCUUUCCCUUGUGGAUUGCGGGUACUCGAGUGGCGAACGGGUGAGUAACACGUGAGUGAUCUGCCCCCAACUUGGGUAUAAGCCUGGGAAACUGGGUCUAAUUCCCGAUAGGACUGCAGGGUGGUGCCUGUGGUGGAAAACGAUUUUCUAGUGGUUGGGGAUGAGCUCGCGGCCUAUCAGCUUGUUGGUGGGGUAAUGGCCUACCAAGGCGGCGACGGGUAGCCGGCCUGGGAGGGUGGACGGCCGAAUUGGGACUGGGAUACGGCCCAGACUCCUACGGGAGGCAGCAGUGGGGAGUAUUGCACAAUGGGCGGAAGCCUGAUGCAGCGACGCCGCGUGGGGGAUGACGGCCUUCGGGUUGUAAACUCCUUUCGACCGCGAGGAAGCCACCUGGUUGGAAGGGUGGUGACGGUAGUGGUAGAAGAAGCACCGGCUAACUACGUG